This 466-nucleotide ribosomal RNA is filed under the name uncultured Anaerolineaceae bacterium. Its description in RNAcentral is "bacterial SSU rRNA". It matches the Rfam family "Bacterial small subunit ribosomal RNA", at positions 902 to 1382 of the family's 1533-position model. Lineage: Bacteria; Bacillati; Chloroflexota; Anaerolineae; Anaerolineales; Anaerolineaceae. The record is from RNAcentral.
CAAAGGAAUUGACGGGACCGCACAAGCAGCGGAGCGUGUGGUUUAAUUCGAUGCGACACGAAGAACCUUACCUGGGUUUGACAUGAAGGUAGUAGGGAAGCGAAAGCAGACCGACCCUUCGGGGAGCCUCCACAGGUGCUGCAUGGCUGUCGUCAGCUCGUGCCGUGAGGUGUUGGGUUAAGUCCGCUAACGAGCGCAACCCUCGCUGUGUGUUACAAGUGUCACACGGAACUGCCGGUCAUAAACCGGAGGAAGGUGGGAUGACGUCAAGUCAGCAUGGCCUUUAUAUCCUGGGCUACACACACGCUACAAUGGGAAAGGACAAUAGGUAGCGAAACCGCGAGGUGGAGCCAAUCCAGCAAAAUUUCCCUCAGUUCAGAUUGCAGGCUGCAACUCGCCUGCAUGAAGUUGGAGUUGCUAGUAAACGCAGGUCAGCCAUACUGCGUUGAAUACGUUCCCGGGGCUU